GUGCUCACUUGGGCAGCACCUACACUAAAACCGGAAUGGCUCCUGAGCAAGGGUGACACACAAAUUCAUGAAGCAUUCCACAUUUUU
RNAcentral lists this small nuclear RNA (87 nucleotides) under Procavia capensis (Cape rock hyrax). Lineage: Eukaryota; Metazoa; Chordata; Mammalia; Hyracoidea; Procaviidae. The record is from RNAcentral.